Molecule: long non-coding RNA, 444 nt
Filed under: Bos taurus (domestic cattle)
Lineage: Eukaryota; Metazoa; Chordata; Mammalia; Artiodactyla; Bovidae
Description: long non-coding RNA NONBTAT018339
Source: RNAcentral
GUUCAUUGAAGUUGUGUAGAACUUAAUAUGGAGCAAAAAUAAUUUACUGUAUACCCUGCUGUUGUUUAUCCUGUAGUUGCUCCAGAGGGAGCUGCUUCAGAAACAAAGCAGAGAUACAGAUUUCAAAGAAUAUCAAAUCAUUGAAAAAUAACCAGUAGACAGCCAAGAGGAAUACACUAAAGGAGGAAAACAUUUUUGAAAGGAAUUAUGCUAGAGAAAGUAAUCACAAAACAAAGACACAGUCUAGAGAAGCAGCCAGUCUUUUCUCUCCCACUAGAGAGGAACAUUCUGUGUUGUAUAUGUAUCCAGAGCUUUACAGUGAAUCUUAACACAGCUAACACAGCUUAAGAUUGAAUGAUUAAUUUAGGUAUCACUUGUUAUGUAGCAACACAUUAUAACAUGGCCUAAUUAUAACCUUGUAUAUGGCAAAGGCAGCAUUUUCAA